AUAAUGAUACUUCUAUCCAGUUAUAAUCCGAGCGUUAAAAGCGUCGCAGGUAAUAAGGAUAGUUCGGGCUGAGGCCGGGGAGGUGAGAUUCCUAUGG
Molecule: non-coding RNA, 97 nt
Filed under: unclassified sequences
Description: pemK RNA
Rfam family: pemK RNA
Source: RNAcentral